RNAcentral lists this ribosomal RNA (62 nucleotides) under Suzukiozyma palmioleophila. RNAcentral describes it as "[Candida] palmioleophila partial 28S ribosomal RNA". Lineage: Eukaryota; Fungi; Ascomycota; Pichiomycetes; Serinales; Debaryomycetaceae. The record is from RNAcentral.
GUUUGACCUCAAAUCAGGUAGGAUUACCCGCCGUGAACUUAUGCAUAUCAAUAAGCGGAGGA